This 261-nucleotide ribosomal RNA is filed under the name uncultured bacterium. RNAcentral describes it as "partial 16S ribosomal RNA". It matches the Rfam family "Bacterial small subunit ribosomal RNA", at positions 524 to 776 of the family's 1533-position model. The record is from RNAcentral.
UACGUAGGGUGCAAGCGUUGUCCGGAAUUAUUGGGCGUAAAGAGCUCGUAGGCGGUCUGUCGCGUCUGCUGUGAAAACUCGAGGGCUUAACCCUGAGCUUGCAGUGGGUACGGGCAGACUAGAGUGGCGGUAGGGGAGACUGGAAUUCCUGGUAAUAGCGGUGAAAUGCGCAGAUAUCAGGGAGGGAACACCGGUGGGCCGAAGGCGGGUCUCUGGGCGUAACUGACGCUGGAGGAGCGAAAGCCAUGGGGAGCGAACAGG